GGAAAAAUACCUGUCUGCUGGUCUCUGCCAUGUCUCAGUGCCAGCCUGGACAUCUGUGCCAGGGAAAGCGGGGCAUGGUGCUGCUGGAAGGGGUAGGUGGAAGGUGCUGCAUGGUCAGUUGUGUUACCAGGACAAGAGCUGCAUUUAGCUCAAAGCCAGACUUUUCAGCUGGGACCCAGUGACCCCAUUGACAGGGUCUGGAGUCACCAAGCUGCAGCCACAUUCAAGUCCUAUUUUUGUCAAGAGUUUUGCAGUGAGCUUCAGAUACUGCCCACGUGGAAGGUGGGAGAGAUGAAUCCCAGCCAUGGCAAAGUCCUGCCUGGUGAAUUUGCAGGUGCCUCCCCAGGCUGCAGCUCGAGCUGCUGACAGGAGAUGCUGGCAGUGAUUUGUGGGGCAGGGAGUUUUCCUCCUUCCCCCUGCACAGUCUGUAAUUCCCUGGUAUUAUAACAUGUCAUUUUUCUAGCAUACCUGAGGAGCCAGGAAAUAAUGUCUGAGCCUAGAGGGACAGCAACGAUGGAACCUCCAAAGAGGCGAGAGAUGGAGAGAUUAGAGCAAGAAACGAAGCCAGCGGAUGCUGCCAGUUCCCAUCACCUAAUCAAAGCUGCUCCGUGGAAGGGCCGCCUCGUUAUUACAUCCCAUUAUAGCCUCCGGCAGCGGCUGUACUUCAUAACCGCCCAGGAAAGCUGACAGGAGCUUAAAAUACUCCGGCAGCGCUGGAGGAGAAGGAGGUGGUAAGCAGUGCCAAGUUCCUCAAUGAAAAUUACUCUCAGCGCCUCUGGUUUUGGAGCCAGAUCGAUGUUAAUUAAUCCUUGCCUCACACGUUACGUUCUCCAACCUCACCGCCUCAGAUUUUAACUCGCUAAAAAAGCAGAUGGAGGUUCCCGAAGCGCCUCCGAAAUUCCCAGCCGAGUGCUCUCCUCAAUGACAAUGCCAAUUUGUCAUGAGUGAAAUGUUUGACAAAAAUCUGUCAUUUUUGAGAGAAGUUUUUCCUUGAAAGAAAAACCAGG
Molecule: long non-coding RNA, 1007 nt
Filed under: Parus major (Great Tit)
Lineage: Eukaryota; Metazoa; Chordata; Aves; Passeriformes; Paridae
Description: lncRNA (ENSPMJG00000010405.1)
Source: RNAcentral